CAGCAGGAAGACAGACAUCUGCAAGCCAAGAAGAGAGCUCUCACCAGAAAAUGAAAUGAGCCCACACCUUGGUCAUGGACUUCUACCCUCUAGAACUGCCCAGAGGACUGUGAGACCACAGACAAUGAGGCUGCAUGAUGGUGGGACCCCUGUGAUUAUUAGGAAACUGAGAUCCUGACAACUGUGAAACUGCAAGUCUGUGGAAUCUUUCUGCCUCUACUCCAAGCCUCUGCUUAGUCAUCUAAAUUCCCCUCUCAAGAGCAAGCACAGUGACCAUGAGUUUGUUUGAAGAUAACAGUGAACAUAGCGAUGACAACAAUUCUCUUGUUUAAAAUGAAUCAGUUUCAUCUGUGAUUUCAAGAUGGCAUUCAACAGUGCUAGGAGAAACAUACUUCCUCUUCUACAAUGGGAAAGAGAGAGAGAAACCUGGAUUUGAGUUGAUUCAAGACCAAGAGAGAGGUUAAGAAGUAGGCACAAGUGUGCAACGAAGACUCGGUGGUUCUGUCUCCAAGUGAGGAAGCACUGAGAUUAAAGAGGGUUCAGGAGACACAGGCUGCCCUCGAGGCUGUUAGGCCAAUGGGGAAGAGAACAAGAACUUCUGGAGACACCAAGGGCAUACAGGAUCUUCACAAAGAUAUCUGAGAGUUAAACUACACUACUUCCAGGAGAAAGAGUUCUUCAUGAGCGAUGGUUCCCAGUUGCAAAGAGAAUCAAUGAAAACAAGGACCCUGUUCCAAACUGACUUUUCUAGCAAUUUAGAUACAUCCUUCCUCUUUUCCCUUCUUCCCUGACACUCUCCUCCCAACACCAGAAGGUCAGGCAAGGACAGGGGAAGCCAAAUGUGCCUUCAAUUCUUCCUAGCCAGAGUCACAUUAGGAAGGGCAGAAGAGCUUAACCCAGAAGAGAGAGAGUGGUGGGAGUGUAAAGGAAAUCUCUUGCCUCCCUUUUCCAAUGCAAGCACCCAGGAUUGGGUUUGUUCUGAGGAUAGUUGGGGAAAAGGAAGAGAAGAAAUUUGAACCCAAUAUGAGAUUUCAGUUUUAAAACAGGCUAAACUGAAUUUUAAUAUCUGAGAAGGACUGGAAAAUUAUAGGACUUGCCAAGUUAAUUUCAAGAAUAAGAAAGGGGGAUGUUGACAUAGCAUAGUUGAAGACCAG
This 1154-nucleotide long non-coding RNA is filed under the name Equus caballus (horse). Its description in RNAcentral is "lncRNA (ENSECAG00000045069.1)". The record is from RNAcentral. Lineage: Eukaryota; Metazoa; Chordata; Mammalia; Perissodactyla; Equidae.